Molecule: long non-coding RNA, 207 nt
Organism: Ornithodoros turicata
Lineage: Eukaryota; Metazoa; Arthropoda; Arachnida; Ixodida; Argasidae
Exons: 3
Source: RefSeq, a predicted model, not a curated record
CGCAUGGUUCUGCGCUCCUGUUCUGAGCUGUCCUAACUUGCCCAGACAUGCCGUGAUGACGUCACAGCUGACGUCACAGGAUGUCCGGAACUGGUGGUCAUAGCUGCGAUGCUUUGCAACCUGGUUCUGUGCUCCGUCGCCCAGCGACGGACAGCGGCCUUUCCGGGCGCUUUCUUCAAGAUGGCCGUCGUUGAUCUUCAACUAAAC